UACGUAGGGUGCGAGCGUUAAUCGGAAUUACUGGGCGUAAAGCGUGCGCAGGCGGUUUUGUAAGCCAGAUGUGAAAUCCCCGGGCUCAACCUGGGAAUGGCAUUUGGGACUGCAAGGCUUGAGUGCGGCAGAGGAGACUGGAAUUCCUGGUGUAGCAGUGAAAUGCGUAGAUAUCAGGAGGAAUACCGAUGGCGAAGGCAGGUCUCUGGGCCGAUACUGACGCUGAGGAGCGAAAGCGUGGGGAGCGAACAGG
This 253-nucleotide ribosomal RNA is filed under the name uncultured bacterium. RNAcentral describes it as "partial 16S ribosomal RNA". It matches the Rfam family "Bacterial small subunit ribosomal RNA", at positions 524 to 776 of the family's 1533-position model. The record is from RNAcentral.